RNAcentral lists this ribosomal RNA (455 nucleotides) under uncultured bacterium. RNAcentral describes it as "bacterial SSU rRNA". It matches the Rfam family "Bacterial small subunit ribosomal RNA", at positions 340 to 786 of the family's 1533-position model. The record is from RNAcentral.
UACGGAAGGCAGCAGUGGGGAAUAUUGCACAAUGGGCGAAAGCCUGAUGCAGCUAUGCCGCGUGUAUGAAGAAGGCCUUAGGGUUGUAAAGUACUUUCAUCGGGGAGGAAAAACAAAAUUAAUAAUUUUAUUUCUUGACGUUACCCGAAAAAGAAGCACCGGCUAACUCCGUGCCAGCAGCCGCGGUAAUACGGAGGGUGCUAGCGUUAAUCAGAAUUACUGGGCGUAAAGAGCACGUAGGUGGUUUUUUUAAGUCAGAUGUGAAAUCCCUGGGCUUAACCUAGGAACUGCAUUUUGAAACUGAAAUACUAGAGUAUCGUAGAGGGAGGUAGAAUUCUAGGUGUAGCGGUGAAAUGCGUAGAUAUCUGGAGGAAUACCUGUGGCGAAAGCGGCCUCCUAAACGAAUACUGACACUGAGGUGCGAAAGCGUGGGGAGCAAACAGGGAUUAGAUACC